This is a long non-coding RNA of Macadamia integrifolia, 1105 nucleotides long. RefSeq lists it as uncharacterized. The record is from RefSeq and is a predicted model, not a curated record. The transcript is spliced from 3 exons. NCBI's taxonomy places the organism in Eukaryota, Viridiplantae, Streptophyta, Magnoliopsida, Proteales, Proteaceae.
UUCUCUCUCUCUCACCCCUCUCACUGCAUCUCUCUUGCAGGAAGCGGUCUCUGCUCACGAUUCUCUCUCACCCCUCCCACUGCAUCUCUCUCACGGCACUCUCUCUGCAAACGAGUCUCUCUCUCACCCAUCUCACUGUAGCUCUCUCACAACCCUCUCUCUGCUGACGAAGGAGCGGGUUUCUCUACUCUGUUGCGGUCUCCUCCGCUAGCGAAGGUUUCUCUCUGCUCACGAAGGUCUCUCUUCCUCCCAAGAGUUCAAGUUUAUAUGUGUAAUGUAGCAGCAGAGAUGAGGCAAAACCAACCCUUCUGAGUUUUACAUAUUCUUCCUCAUCUGGGUUCACAACCUAUUAGCCAACAACAUUUACUUUCCUAUUAUAUACUUGGGUGUCUUGUCCAUUGGUGCCAUUGCCACUGCCAUUAAUCGUCUCAAUAGUCUCCCUGAGAUACAGAAGCAAUUGAACCAUUGCUUAAGAAGAAAUGAUAAGCAGCAAAAAUGGGAGAUGUAACUACAGUAACUCUUUUGAUGGGUGUGGGGAUCUCAAGGAAAUGAAGAAAGGGUUGGAAACCCUGUUUUGUCUACUGCUCAGGGAAGCCAAUUAGCAUGGAGGUCCAAGAGAUAAUGUUGGGUGCAAGAGCUGUCCCAAAAAUCUGGGUGGUAGACACCAUUCGUUGUUCACAGUUAGAGUACACAGUUAUUAGAGCAUUGAUCACUGGUGUUUCAGAAACAAACCCUGUGUCCAUCAUGCAACCAUGAAGCUGCAAGCCCAGAUACAAGUCUCUUGGUUCUGAACAGGCCUUUGUGACGCUUGUCAAGGUGUAGCCAUCAAAUCCUACACCCUCCUUUAAGAAGAGACAUAAAUGCCACUAUUGAGAGGGCUGUUUGGGAUGUUAGUCCAGAGAUAAAGAUUGCUGUAGAAAACAUAAUAGAAGUGAUAAAGUACAUUAAUAAGUUAAGUGUCUAUUAUCUCUGGCCCAUUCAUAUAAUCUAUCUCAAGUACAUUAUUACUGGGAAAAGAAUUACAAAAACAAAGAUUUCUUCAAUCCAUUAUUACAUUAUUCUGUUUUGUGAAUCUUUAACACUUACUCAGUCGAGCAUUGCAUUC